UCGGGAAUUUUGGGCAAUGGGCGAAAGCCUGACCCAGCAACGCCGCGUGAAGGAUGAAGUAUUUCGGUAUGUAAACUUCGAAAGAAUAGGAAGAAUAAAUGACGGUACUAUUUAUAAGGUCCGGCUAACUACGCGCCAGCAGCCGCGGUAAUACGUAGGGACCAAGCGUUGUUCGGAUUUACUGGGCGUAAAGGGCGCGUAGGCGGCAAUUCAAGUCAUCUGUGAAAUCUCCGGGCUUAACUCGGAACGGUCAGAUGAUACUGCUUUGCUAGAGUGCAGAAGGGGCAAUCGGAAUUCUUGGUGUAGCGGUGAAAUGCGUAGAUAUCAAGAGGAACACCUGAGGUGAAGACGGGUUGCUGGGCUGACACUGACGCUGAGGCGCGAAAGCCAGGGGAGCAAACGGGAUUAGAUACCCAUGUAGUCCCUGAGCGGGCUGGCAAGGCGCAU
RNAcentral lists this ribosomal RNA (447 nucleotides) under uncultured bacterium. RNAcentral describes it as "bacterial SSU rRNA". It matches the Rfam family "Bacterial small subunit ribosomal RNA", at positions 355 to 825 of the family's 1533-position model. The record is from RNAcentral.